RNAcentral lists this ribosomal RNA (245 nucleotides) under uncultured bacterium. RNAcentral describes it as "partial 16S ribosomal RNA". It matches the Rfam family "Bacterial small subunit ribosomal RNA", at positions 527 to 772 of the family's 1533-position model. The record is from RNAcentral.
GUAGGGAGCGAGCGUUAUCCGGACUUAUUGGGCGUAAAGCGUGCGUAGGCGGUUUGUUAAGUCUGAAAUUAAAGCCUGAGGCCCAACCUCAGUUCGUUUCAGAAACUGGCAGACUUGAGUGUGGUAGAGGUAAAUGGAAUUUCUAGUGUAGCGGUAAAAUGCGUAGAUAUUAGAAGGAACACCAGUGGCGAAGGCGAUUUACUGGGCCAUUACUGACGCUGAGGCACGAAAGCGUGGGGAGCAAA